This 439-nucleotide long non-coding RNA is filed under the name Salmo salar (Atlantic salmon). RNAcentral's name for it is "lncRNA (ENSSSAG00000088735.1)". Lineage: Eukaryota; Metazoa; Chordata; Actinopteri; Salmoniformes; Salmonidae. The record is from RNAcentral.
GGGGUAUAGGGAAGGUAGGGGAGAGGAGGGGGUAUAGGGAAGGUACGGGAGAGGAGGGGGGACUUACUCCAUGUCAGGCAGCCUCCAAGUCUACCCUCACCAACUGACCGUGUAAUCUGAUUCAUUAUGAUAUAGGAUCAGGACCCUCCUCUCCAUGUAAUCUGAUUCAAUAUGAUCUAGGAUCAGGUCCCACCUCUCCAUGUAAUCUGAUUCAUUAUGAUCUAGGAUCAGGUCCCCCCUCUCCAUGUAAUCUGAUUCAUUAUGAUAUAGGAUCAGGUCCCCCCUCUCCAUGUAAUCUGAUUCAUUAUGAUCUAGGAUCAGGUCCUUCCUCUCCAUGUAAUCUGAUUCAUUAUGAUCUAGGAUCAGGUCCCCCCCCUCUCCAUGUAAUCUGAUUCAUUAUAAUCUAGGAUCAGGUCCCCCCCUCUCCAUGUAAUCUGAU